GCCCCCAUCGUCUAAAGGCUAGGACACUGCCUUCUCAGGGCAGAAAUGCGGGUUCGAAUCCCGCUGGGGGCA
Molecule: transfer RNA, 72 nt
Filed under: Candidatus Methanomethylicus sp.
Lineage: Archaea; Thermoproteati; Thermoproteota; Methanosuratincolia; Candidatus Methanomethylicales; Candidatus Methanomethylicaceae
Description: tRNA-Glu
Rfam family: tRNA
About the family: Transfer RNA (tRNA) molecules are approximately 80 nucleotides in length. Their secondary structure includes four short double-helical elements and three loops (D, anti-codon, and T loops).
Source: RNAcentral